Molecule: non-coding RNA, 6159 nt
Organism: Xyrichtys novacula (pearly razorfish)
Lineage: Eukaryota; Metazoa; Chordata; Actinopteri; Labriformes; Labridae
Source: the annotation of a GenBank genome assembly
GCGCGAGGCUGUCAACCAUCAUCACGCCCCCCUCCCAUCCUCACGAGACAGGAAUAUAUCUCAAUCAUCCCGUUACAGGUAAAUGUGAGGUUUUAUUGAAAUUUCUGUAUCAUCUUUUUAUUUUUCCUUGUUUUCAAGAUGCAGCACAUCGUGUUUCUGAAUUUAUUUGCCUAUUUGAAAAACAGGGAAAAAUAUUGUAUUCGUUUUUAGUGUUUACCCAUGUGACCCAUGGUUUUAAUCAUAGACUGUGUAUAUACUCUAUACUAUAUUAUAUAUAGAUUAUAUAGACAGCCUUUGAUUAUAAGUGGUCGAACCAGGUCUUUUUUAUGUAAGGAAAAAAUGACAUGAUUUGUGAGUAGGUUUAACAUCUCAGCUAUAAUAUAAUAAUUGUGCCAUCUAGAGAUUACCUUUUACAAGCCCAAAUCCUGAAAAGUUGGGAUGCAAUGUUAAAUGUACAUCAAAAAUUGUGAUGGUUUGCAUCUCACUCAAACCUUUUAUUUGAAUAAAAGCAAUGUAAAGACAUCAUAUUCAAUGUGGAAAACAGUAAAUUUUAUGGUUCAUGAAGAUAUGCUGUUUUGAUAUGAAAAAUGUCGGGAUCAGGACAACAAAACCUUGAGAAAGUUGUGUAAUCCAAAAAACAAAACACCUGAAGGGAACAACGCCCAGAUAAAUGGAUGGGUUAAUUUACAACAGCUGGGUAAAAUCACAAAGUAUGAAAAAGACAUUUCUGAGAGGAGAGAUGGGAUGUUCACCAUCACUGUGAGAAACUGUGUGAGUAAAUAGUUCAACAGCAGCAGGAUAAAACUCCCCUGAAUUAAGAAUUUUAGUUUGAAUCAUGUACAUAAUAAAAUAAUAAGAACAUGAAAUUCUGGAGAAAUCUUUGUUGAAAAAGGGACAGGGUAGAAAAUCAACUCUUUAUAAUGAUAAAAAAAAUGAAAUCCAAGAGCAUAUUAUACAACGCUCAGAAGCAUGUCAAAAAAGACAAAUAAAUAAAUAAAUAAAACACAAUAACCUAAAUGAACUCUGAAUGAACCCAGGCAGUGCGGGGACAAAACUACAUAAAAAGAGACCUGAGGCCCAGAGAUAAAAGAGCAUAUAGAAAGACCAAAUAGAGUUUAAGUUUAGAGGAAAAAAUGGCUGGAAUUUUUCAGUCUCUCACAUGGCACUGCUUUAACAACCAAUAUGACUCACAUGCUCAAGAUAUAAUUUAAACCAUUUUUUGUGAACACAGUUUAUUGUUAAAUCCACAAAUGCACAGUAAAACUCUGCCAAAUAAUAAUAAUAAUAAUAAUAAUAAUAAUAAUAAUAUCUUACAUUUGUAUAGCGCCUUUCAAGAUACCCAUACAAGUGAUCCAGAAAUGGACUGUGGCCAAGUGGAGAAGUGCCCUGUGAUUUUACAAACCAAAUUUGACAUUAUUUUUGGUAAUCAUAGAUGCCCUGUUCUCUGCUGUAAAGAAGACUGUGACCAUCUUGUCAUUAGUGCACAGUUCAAAAGCCAGCAUUCAUAUGGAGAUGCAUGAGUGUUCAAGGCUAGGGUCAUAAUUUUAUCUCAGAAAGCACCAUCAAUGCUGAACAGUAUAUUCGGGUUUAAGAGCAAUGUAUGCUGCCAAAAAGAUCCUUUCUUUUUCAAACAAGACAACGCCAAACCACAUUCUGCAUGAAGUAACAUGGCUCUGUAGUUUUAGAGUCCAUUUGCUAAACUGGCCUGUCUGCAGUCCAGAUUUGUCACCUACUAAAAUAUCUGGCCCAUCAUCAAACAGAAAGUAUGAAGGAGGAGAUCCUUAGCUGUUAAGCAGCUAAAAUCCAUCAGCAGGAACAGGACAAUGUUUCACUUUAAUAACUCAGAACUGGGGCAGCACAGUGUUGUAGUGGUUAGCACUGUCGCCUCACAGCAAGAAGGUCCUGGGUUCGAAUCCAGGUCAGGGCAUUUCUGUGUGGAGUUUGCAUGUUCUCCCUGUGUCUGCGUGGGUUUACUCCAGGUACUCUGGUUUCCUCCCACAUACCAAAAACAUGCCUAAGUGGGGUUAGGUUAAUUGGCCACUUCCAGGUUGCCCAUAGGUGUGAAUGGUUGUUCGUCUCUAUUUGCAGCCCUGCGAUGAACUGGCGUCUUGUCCAGGGUGUCCCCUGCCUUCACCCAAAAGAUGCUGGGAAAAUACCUACACAGCAUGCUGGGAUAGGCUCCAGCCCCCGCGACCCUGGGAACAGGGAUAAGAGGUAGAAAAUGGAUGGAUGGAACUCAGAACUUGUCUCCUUGUUCCUCAAAUGAGGGUUUAUAACAAAGAGACGAUGCUGCAGGAUGGAAAAAAUGUUGGUGUUCUGACUUAAUAAAUGUGUUGCUGGUAUUGAAUUAAAAGUCAGCAUGUAUUUUUCCUCAAACCUUUGAAAUCUCCACUUUCAACAUUUGAUAUGUGUUGAUAUGUGUGUUUGAACUACUGUUGAGUGAAUACAGCAUUUAAAAUGAUUGGCAAAUCAUUAUAUUCUAUUUCUAUAAACAUUUAACACAAUAUACCAACUUUUCUGAUUUCUCUUCUUUUUUUCUUUUCUGGGUUGUUAGUGUGAGCUGAUAAAACUGAAAAUCAACAAAAUUUAGAAGUGAAUGAGCUAAAAACAGAUUUUAUUAAAUCCUUUAAUGGCCAGGUAGAAGAAAAAUUAUGAGUGAAUGACUUUUUUAUUAUUCAUAUUAUUUGAAAUAUAUUUAAAACUGAGGUAUUCACUCUGUCAUGGUGUGCUAUAAGUUAAACUAUACUUAUGUUAAAUAGUAAAAUAAUUUAUGAGUGGUCCCAAAUUAGGGAUCUUGACUUUUGUGUGAAUAUGUUUGAUUUAUUGCAUUUAUGAAACCUAACAUCAGAGGUUGAAUUAAAAAAUAAGUCCUGGUUUUACACUGUGUUGAUGGAGGCCGGCACAGGCACACUGUAAUCUAUAAAUCAUAUUCAUAAUCCAUAAAUCAAAGCUGGCAUAUAAAGCAGGUAGUCAAAGCCCUGCAGUCCUAUUCCGCUACAGAGCAUUGUAAAUAAUGCAUUAUCUGGGCACUCGUGGUGCUGGAGAGAUGUUUGUUAUUCAGUUGGUGACACAGCCUCAUAUGGAGCUCCAUACCCAGUGUGACAUUUGGUAUUAGGUCCUGUUAGUCUUGUGUCACACUUAACGCUGGGAGAACUGGACAAAAAAGGUGAACCUGAGGUCCAAGAAAAUACCUACACAGCAAACACAGGAAAAAAAAAAGUCUUUAUCUGUUUUGACAAUACCAGAGCUUUUUAAUAUACCAAUAAGAGUUUCUCACUGGAACAUAUGGAGCUAUUUCUUCUCAUCAUUUUUAAUUUGUUAUAUGAUAGAAGCAUUUUUUGAAGUUGUUUAAAGAAGAUUUUAGUUAAAACUGAGAUGCACACAGAUUUAAUCACCAUCCUUGAAGUUUGUUUAUUGUGCAUUACUUUAGCUGCAGUACUGAUAAUGUCCACUAGGAGUCCCUGCAAGCAUACAGGUGCCAGAAAAAAAGCUCAGGGCCCUUUUCCACAAGCAGCUUCCUUUUGUGCGUGAAACCUUUAAUUUUUUUUUUUCAGUUUUCAUAACAGUCUACAUAAAACAACAACAACAACAACAAAAUCAACAACAACAAAACACCCUUUAAAAAAAAAAUGGAAAUUAAAAUCUCAGCAAUGUGUUUCCAGGUGUUCAAGUAUUCACCUAAGAGAAACUUUUGUUUUCAGUUAAGUUCAUGACACCUCUUUGAUGCAUAGACUUCAUGGGUCAAUCCUUGCAUAAAAUAUUAUCAAUAUUUGCACACAGAAGCACCUUCCUUUAAAAAAUAGAAGCAUUUAGAUAAAUGGCAAGAUUUUGCAACAAGCUCUGCAGUUGAAUUAUCUAAAGUAAUACCAAAAUCCACAAGUCCUACCUGAAGCAGGUGAGAAAAACACAACAAACAAGCUUUAGAGCCUGGUUAACACCCACCGCCUCAGAAGUAUGGUUUAAACAUCUGGAGUAUAUAAGGACACAGUAAGCAAUGAGAACCUGUGGUGGAACGACAAAACGGGACCAAAGUGACACAAAAACAGGCAGGGCAGAGUGGAUAAAAUUAGGUCAGACACAUGUGAAGAAAGCAAGACAUAAACAUCACCUGAUAACUCGACCUGUAAGUAAAAGGGUGAGAAGAUCAAGCCCAGAUCAGCUGGAGAGAGGGGCAUAUGGAGAAAAGUGUGGGAGUGGGCUUAACCACUAACAAGCUUCUAAUAUCUGCUGAACAGGCAAUAAUAUGUAAAUGUUCAAACUCUUUACUCUCAGUCAAAUCUAUCAGUUUUUGUUGAUUUUUGAAUUCAGGAUUUUUCUGUGUAGUGCAGGGUUUUAACACAGUGAAACUGAAGCUUUUCAAUUAAAAUGUGGGCACAUGUUUAACACAGCAUAAUCACCCAUACAUGUAAACUACCCUUGAGGAACCUCCUCACUCCAUGAGGUUCAGGGUCUCAGCUUUAGAGUAAUCUAAUCAGAUCAAAACUAUGGGACUAGAUCGAAUCCAAACAAAAGAAUUAUUGAGGAAUUAAAAUUAUGUCAGGCCAUCUGAUCUUUUUUCACGCUGUCAGUAUUUUAGGGCCUGUGUCCACUGAUGGCAUUUUUCAUUUUGGCAGCUUCCACAACCUUAAAGUCAGUGUCCUUUUCACUGGUGCUGACUGUUUCUUUGUGACAAAAGCUGGUCCCAGGCUAUCUUCAGGUCUGUGUUAGCCUGCUAUGUUUACCUGAUUUUUGCUCAAGGAUACUUCACCAAGAGAGAACAAUGAAACCAUUGAAAAAGUUUGUGCAGCUACAGAUAGUGGGUCGGGCUGCACUGCAUAAAUUUACCACUGCGCGGGGUUCAUCCUCCUGCUGCCAGUAGGCACAAAUUUACAGCCCAACAUUACCUUCAUUUGACCUACGAAGAAGCAGAGAGUUGGAUUUAAGGCAGACCUUUGGCUUCCUUGGAAGGCCCAGUGUGCUCGCCUAUCAGUCAAGUCAGCUUUGUAUCUACUGCUGCAAAACUUGUGUAACUGUAACAUCUAUGAAACAGGUCAAUAAAAAUCCACCCCCUGCAGAUAAAAAAAUUAGCUAUCAAGACUAAAACCUUCUAUUGGACCAGGCUGUAAACACUCUUUUUGAUAAAAGUGAAUGUGUUUCCAGUGAGGCUUCUGGCCUCAAGCGGGUACUUUGGGAACUGCAGUUAUUAGCGCUUCAUUUGACAAGAACAGAAACUGCUGCUGAAGUUGUGGGCCCUAUUAGCAUGAAAAAAGUGUUGAAGGACAUAGCAUCUAAUUGUUAAAAUUGAAUUAAUGCCUAUUGUGUACAAUACCCGCUUUAUUAAUCAGCAAAGUAGCUGUUAUACAACAAAGAAAGAGACAUUUAUGCUGUGAUUUAUAAAAAGAGCUUGGAGCUCAGGGAAAUUCGAUCCCAUCUUAUCUAACCUACAUCGCAUUACGUUAAAUGAUUUAAAGAAAUGUUUUUUUUUUGCAGCUUAUGGUACCUGCAGGGCUAUAACAUUCAGUUUAUAGCUUUAGCUUUAUCUUUCUUUUAUAUGAGUGAUAAUCCCUGCUUUUAUCAUUUCCCUCCCUGUCAUUUGAUAUGGAUUAAGAAGGUCUUUAAAUGAACAUCAUCAGGGCUCCUCUCUUUCCUGGAUCACAUUAAUUAAUCUGGACAGCUUUGCAGCCAUUCAGGAAUGUGUCCUCAGGCUGAUGCAGGGUUCAGGAGAGGACACCGAAGGUUACGUGUAGGACGGCCUGCAGUGUGGAGAGCAGGAUUAUUUGAUCAUGGCUGUAAAGUGAUUCCUGGAAGUGAGCUGCUCAGAGAGAGGUCAGUGAGGUGAUCAGGACAGAGACAAUGCCUGCUGUAAGGAGGAUUCAUGGACCAGAGACAGAAAGGAGAUUACAACUCUGAUCAGCUUUUUCACCUCUGGAUCAUAAUCCCGGAUCGGCUCAGGGGAUUUUCAACACUUCAGCAGAACAUCAAAAGACAAACAGAGAUGAACAGAGACAUACAAAGACACACAAAGACACACAGACACUAUUGACUAGAAGCUUUGUGAGGCAAAGUUUAGGCUUUUUUAGAACGUACGUACUUUAUAUGUGACUUUUUUCACAGCUGUUUGAAACUGUCUGUCUCGUGUUUUUUUCUGUUCUGCUCAUUUUUUUUGUUGGUUCAGUAGCU